RNAcentral lists this ribosomal RNA (253 nucleotides) under uncultured bacterium. Its description in RNAcentral is "partial 16S ribosomal RNA". It matches the Rfam family "Bacterial small subunit ribosomal RNA", at positions 524 to 776 of the family's 1533-position model. The record is from RNAcentral.
UACGAAGGGGGCUAGCGUUGUUCGGAAUUACUGGGCGUAAAGCGCGCGCAGGCGGUCUUCCAAGUCAGUGGUGAAAGCCCGGAGCUCAACUCCGGAACUGCCAUUGAAACUGUAAGACUUGAGGAUGAGAGAGGUGAGUGGAAUUCCCAGUGUAGAGGUGAAAUUCGUAGAUAUUGGGAAGAACACCGGUGGCGAAGGCGGCUCACUGGCUCAUUACUGACGCUCAUGCUCUACAUCGUGGGUAUCAAACACG